RNAcentral lists this long non-coding RNA (294 nucleotides) under Mytilus galloprovincialis (Mediterranean mussel). Lineage: Eukaryota; Metazoa; Mollusca; Bivalvia; Mytilida; Mytilidae. The record is from RNAcentral.
GUGUUAAUUUACGUUUUUUGAUUGAGUUAAGCCUGCCAAUUGAUAUUUUAUCGUGUGUUUUUCUAUGCUGUGAUGUUAUGCUAUUGUUUCAGAAAAAGGUAGAAGGUUUGGUACCAUUAAAACGUUUAAUCCCGCUGCAAAUGUUUGCACCUGUCCUAAGUCAGGAAUCUGAUGUACAGUAGUUGUCGGUUUGUUUAUGUAAUUUAUACGCGUUUCUCGUUUCUAGUUUUUUUUUUAUAUAUAGAUUAGACCGUUGGUUUUCCCGUUUGAAUGGUUUUACACUAGUAAUUUUGG